CUAAUUCACCAGUGUCAUUUUUCAAACAUCAUCUAUACGUACAGUGUGUACAGGCUCUUCAGUAGUGAGUGGACAACAAACAGGGAUACGGGACAGUGAAUGCUAAAUGGCGAGGGAAGAACAAAUUAUUUCAAGCACCUGACUGUCAGGGUCAUUACUGCAAUACAUCUCAGCGAAGACCAAAAGGAAGGAGUGGGAGGCUGAUACUAAAGUGAUUUAUCCAGCAUCUACAGAUGUUUCACCAAGAAUCACAGAAAGGCCUCAAAUCAGCAUCCUUGUCCGUACUGCACAGCCAAGACAGAUUGCACUUUUCCUUUUCUACUUGUAUAACAGGUGAGUAAUAUACAAGAGACCCAAUUCAGUCUCUACCUGUCCUGACUUGCAAAAAAACAGCAGUGGCCCAUUUCCUAAAAUUUCUGUAAGUAGUGGGUGUGGACUAUAUAGUCUAUCUCUCGUAUCUUCCAACUUGUAGUCCAGUUCAUAUUUAAAAAGAUUCAAGCCAAGAAAGACAGAAGGGGACUUGAAAUC
RNAcentral lists this long non-coding RNA (528 nucleotides) under Anser cygnoides (Swan goose). RNAcentral describes it as "lncRNA (ENSACDG00005011476.1)". The record is from RNAcentral. Lineage: Eukaryota; Metazoa; Chordata; Aves; Anseriformes; Anatidae.